UACGUAGGGUGCGAGCGUUAAUCGGAAUUACUGGGCGUAAAGCGCGCGCAGGCGGCUUUGUAAGUCAGGUGUGAAAUCCCCGGGCUUAACCUGGGAAUGGCAUUUGGGACUGCAAGGCUUGAGUGCGGCAGAGGAGACUGGAAUUCCUGGUGUAGCAGUGAAAUGCGUAGAUAUCAGGAGGAAUACCGAUGGCGAAGGCAGGUCUCUGGGCUGACACUGACGCUCAUGCACGAAAGCGUGGGGAGCAAACAGG
RNAcentral lists this ribosomal RNA (253 nucleotides) under uncultured bacterium. RNAcentral describes it as "partial 16S ribosomal RNA". It matches the Rfam family "Bacterial small subunit ribosomal RNA", at positions 524 to 776 of the family's 1533-position model. The record is from RNAcentral.